AGGUAGCAGAGGUAGGUCGAGUGGGUCACGUGGUCAUGGUAGAGGGCGGGCUUCCACCAAAUUUCUAAGGACUGCGCAGUCAUCACCCUCUCCAGCGCCCCCAGCAGGAUGCCCUUCACCACCGCUCGUCAUCCGACUGAGGAUUUGGUCUGAUGGCAUGCAUGUAUUUGCACCAAACCUCAAUGCUUGCACAUAGGAGAUCUCUGACGUCAUUAAGUCCAUGUACGACCACCCGUAGCCGACCUACACACAGAUCCUGGCUGAGGCCAGAGAUCGAUGGUUUCAGAAGUAGUGGGCGUUAAAAUUCAUAUGAGAUGCGGAGCAUAAUCUCAUGAUUAGGAAGAUCUACGAUCACCGGAUAGCUAAACAUUUUCAGCAAAUCACGAGCGACGUUCGUAAGGGGCACGAUCACCUAACGUCGUAGAUUCGUCCAACCAUCAAGAAGGAACUCAGGUAUAUUUUACUCAUAAUGAGGGGUUCAAGCGUCGCCAUCCAACGAAUGUCACUAACAGGGCUUCGCCCAAGUCGUCAAAGUAUAUGAGUGGGUCGGCGACCUUCAUGAAGACGAAGAGCAGAUUGGUAAUGAUUUUGUCAUUGUUGAAUAUUUUAGUAGUUACUUAAAUUAGUUGUUUAAUGUGUUCAUUUCUUUUAUUGGUUGAUAUAUUAAUUUAUGGUCUAAGUUAUUGCACCAUGAGAUGAUACUGGUGGAGACCUUCGAGUAUACCCAUACUUUGAAGGUCAACAAGGAGAGAUUUGCUAACAAGCGGUCAACGGCCCAUUAUGUGAAUUUAAAUUAAUCCUUACUUUCAAAUCUAUUUGGUUUAAAGGUAAUUAAUUAAUUGUUAUCCUAAUCACGACGUGCGUGACACGGGAGGAUUACACGCAAAGGUUGGAGGUCGCGACCCAACAAUCUCAACUGUGUAGUAGGAACGACGAAGCCGGCUCCGAGACCUCAGUGGUAGAUUUUGAUAGAAUUUGGCGCAAGACCACCUUUGAGCCUCAUAAGAAUCGCCGUUUCGGGUUAGGGUCGUUCUUCACCAGUAGCCUCUGCUCCUCCGUGUUGGUGAUUUUCUCUGCCUCUGCCACCAACCUUGCCGAUCCCCAAGAAGUUAUUGUCUUGAGGGAGGAGAUGCUAAAGUUGACAAAGAAGCUUCACCAGCAAGCGGAGUAGUCUGAGCAAAGGUACAACAACCUUCUUGCAUGGGUGGGAGGAGCCGUUGCCAUCAGCUCAGACCUGAUGGAGAAGUUGGAGCAGCUCGAUCGGUUGCGGGAGCAGAUAAAGGAGUACAACUAGCAAAUGCGCGCCGGAGCCAGCGGUGCUGGAGGAAGCAGCACUGCUGGUUCCAACAGCAACGCUACUGGUGGGCACUGACAAUUACCGGGAUCUGUUGGGGUUUUAUUUUUUUGUUUGUCUACUUUAUUGUAUUCUACUUCUGUGACAUUUUAUUGUAUUCAGACCAUUUAUUUUUAAUAAAAUAAUUUGAUGAU
Long non-coding RNA from Arachis ipaensis, 1488 nucleotides. RefSeq lists it as uncharacterized. The record is from RefSeq and is a predicted model, not a curated record. NCBI's taxonomy places the organism in Eukaryota, Viridiplantae, Streptophyta, Magnoliopsida, Fabales, Fabaceae.